UACGAAGGGGGCUAGCGUUGCUCGGAAUUACUGGGCGUAAAGGGAGCGUAGGCGGAUAGUUUAGUCAGAGGUGAAAGCCCAGGGCUCAACCUUGGAAUUGCCUUUGAUACUGGCUAUCUUGAGUACGGAAGAGGUAUGUGGAACUCCGAGUGUAGAGGUGAAAUUCGUAGAUAUUCGGAAGAACACCAGUGGCGAAGGCGACAUACUGGUCCGUUACUGACGCUGAGACGCGAAGGCGUGGGGAGCGAACGGG
Molecule: ribosomal RNA, 253 nt
Filed under: uncultured bacterium
Lineage: Bacteria
Description: partial 16S ribosomal RNA
Rfam family: Bacterial small subunit ribosomal RNA
Source: RNAcentral